UCGCUCCUACCGAUUGAGUGAUCCGGUGAAUAAUUCGGACUGCUGCAAGGCUCAGUUCCUGAACCUUGCGGCGGAAAGUUUAGUGAACCUUAUCACUUAGAGGAAGGAG
RNAcentral lists this ribosomal RNA (109 nucleotides) under uncultured eukaryote. RNAcentral's name for it is "partial small subunit ribosomal RNA". It matches the Rfam family "Eukaryotic small subunit ribosomal RNA", at positions 1676 to 1785 of the family's 1831-position model. The record is from RNAcentral.